CACGCAGGCGGUCUGUCAAGUCGGAUGUGAAAUCCCCGGGCUCAACCUGGGAACUGCAUUCGAAACUGGCAGGCUAGAGUCUUGUAGAGGGGGGUAGAAUUCCAGGUGUAGCGGUGAAAUGCGUAGAUAUAUGGAGGAACACCGGUGGCGAAAGCGGCUCUCUGGCCUGUAACUGACACUGAGGCUCGAAAGCGUGGGGGAGCAAACA
RNAcentral lists this ribosomal RNA (208 nucleotides) under uncultured bacterium. RNAcentral describes it as "partial 16S ribosomal RNA". It matches the Rfam family "Bacterial small subunit ribosomal RNA", at positions 568 to 774 of the family's 1533-position model. The record is from RNAcentral.